RNAcentral lists this ribosomal RNA (813 nucleotides) under uncultured bacterium. Its description in RNAcentral is "bacterial SSU rRNA". It matches the Rfam family "Bacterial small subunit ribosomal RNA", at positions 8 to 810 of the family's 1533-position model. The record is from RNAcentral.
AGAGUUUGAUCCUGGCUCAAGAUGAACGCUGGCGGCGUGCUUAACACAUGCAAGUCGAACGGGGGCGUGAUGUGCGAGAGGGAUAGUUUACUAGACUUCAAACUUUUCACGCCCUAGUGGCGGACGGGUGAGUAACGCGUGGGUAACCUGCCAUAUACAGGGGGAUAACACUUAGAAAUAGGUGCUAAUACCGCAUAAGCGCACAGGGGCGCAUGCCCCGGUGUGAAAAACUCCGGUGGUAUAUGAUGGACCCGCGUCUGAUUAGUCAGUUGGCAGGGUAACGGCCUACCAAAGCGACGAUCAGUAGCCGGCCUGAGAGGGCGGACGGCCACAUUGGGACUGAGACACGGCCCAAACUCCUACGGGAGGCAGCAGUGGGGGAUAUUGCACAAUGGGGGAAACCCUGAUGCAGCGACGCCGCGUGAGUGAAGAAGUAUUUCGGUAUGUAAAGCUCUAUCAGCAGGGAAGAAAAUGACAGUACCUGACCAAGAAGCCCCGGCUAACUACGUGCCAGCAGCCGCGGUAAUACGUAGGGGGCAAGCGUUAUCCGGAUUUACUGGGUGUAAAGGGAGCGUAGACGGUUAUGUAAGUCUGGAGUGAAAGCCCGGGGCCCAACCCCGGGACUGCUUUGGAAACUGUGUAACUGGAGUACAGGAGGGGCAGGCGGAAUUCCUGGUGUAGCGGUGAAAUGCGUAGAUAUCAGGAGGAACACCGGCGGCGAAGGCGGCCUGCUGGACUGAAACUGACGUUGAGGCUCGAAAGCGUGGGGAGCAAACAGGAUUAGAUACCCUGGUAGUCCACGCCGUAAACGAU